AACCAUCAGAAUGAUUAAUUGAAUUUCUGCAAGCUUUGAGAGGCUUUUUUUUCCCAGUCUUUUUGACUUUUUCAGUCUAACAGCGAUUGCAAUCAUAUUGAAAUACUACGAGCAAAUUAAAGCAUGGCAGUGACUGGGAGAAUCAACUUACCCAGGAGAAAAUAAAACAAGCCAAACCAGAGAAUGAGAGCGAGUGAGCCUUUCUUUGUACUAUGCCUUGUUGAUUGAACUCAGGGGGUUACUUUGUUAACCUCUGGGUCUUGUUUGCAUUUUCCUUCCCUCCAUAAACAGAAACUUGUCAAUUCCCUUCCAACCCAAAUCAUUCUCAUUUUCUAUGAAAUCUCAUGUAGUCUGUGUGAAAUGUAUGUGACCUGUUUCCCCACGUCACCUCUUCUCCCUACUCUGUCUGUGAAGAGGACUCCUGUUGCUCGAUGCAGCCAUGGUAGAGCAGAGCUUGGGGCAAUGCUCUUGGGAAUGUGGAACCACAACUAUCGUCUGCCACUGCAGAGCCCCUCCAGACGGCUCCUGCUUCAGCUGAAGCCAACAGUCCUAAGAGUGGGAUAUUUAAAAUGGAGUGAAGCUAUCAUUUUGGAGACAGUAUAAGUACUUGCAAAAGUGUGUGAGCUCUAGUAGUCUGUAAGCUUUUGGGACAUAGCUUUUUCUUUUAUGUGCAACUAAUAGGGAGAUGUAGAUAGAACCUUUUGCAACUACUGUCUGGCUGUAGAAGCUGCUGUAAUACAAACAGUAAUUAUAAUAUGUCUGCAAUAAAAAGUUUGAAUGUGCACUUCUAGCAUAUGCUAUAGGAAGUUACUGUUUUGAUAUGGGAUUGCUCACUAGGUGUCCUCACAGGAUCAGGACUCACAGAAUACUUUUUUUAUAAUCAAGUUUGGAGAGUUGCAUUUGCCCAGUGCUGAAAUAUUAUGAGCUAUAAAGGGGGACCAAUGAAGUGUUUGUCUCUGAUUCAGAUGGGAGAUUAAGGCAGACAGAUGGAGGUGUCCAAAUCUGUAUCCAUUGCUACCGUGGAGGGUUAAAAUUGUUAUGGAUUGUCCUGCAGAUAAUUAUUGUGCAGAACCAGUACAGGAGAUUGAGCUAAUAUAAAUAAUAAGUUAAUAUAUAGGUAAAAGUUAUUACAGUGAUCUAUUUGAGGGAGGGAAAAGUGGGGAAUCAUUAACAAGCAAGGAGCUAACCAAGAAUUAGAAAGCCAUCCUGUUCUAUAUCAUCCUGUGGAGGAUCAUGCAAGUUUCAAGUUAAAAUUGUUAGUUUCCCAGGAAAAUAUUUUAUGUUCUGCAGAGAUCAAUAAGCCUCUGGGUUAAUUGCAGAAUUUCUUGCUGUUAAGUCCAGAACACCUGCUGUAAAACAAGAGGGUAAUGUCCAGUUCUGUACGCUCCCAUUAAAAAGUGCUUCCAGCGACCAGAAAUAGCUCUCUCCAGGAAACAGAAUAGAGGAGCAUGCAGUAUAAAAGUAGUUUCUCAUGUUCCACAUUAAUCUGGGUGUAUCUAUUUGCAACAGCAACGUGCAGAUUAUUACUGCAUGUCAGAAGAGUUAUUUGUAACCAGGGACAGUACGGCAAGCAAUUGGCAUACAGAUGACUGUUAUGCAGUCAAUUGGACAGGUUCAAGGCAUACAUUUAUGCCCUGCUAGUAUACAUAGCAACAACUUUGUUCUGUAACUGUCAUGACCUCUUUUGGUGCCACUUUCAUAUCUCACCCAGAAGGGUUUUAGGCAUCCUUUGUAGCCUUAAAAGCACUUAGAUUUCUGAAUUGCUUAUAUUGCUUAACAUGUUUGCUCCAGAUUCUUCAGCUUCCCACUGCUAUUUGUGAUUUCCACAGCGCUGAAGGGGAUCAUAGAUACAAUCAGCAAUUAAUACUUGUGGUAUUAAUUGGCUUGAAAUCUAUCCUUGCAGUUUUAAUGGUUCUUGCAAUUUUAUAAUUAGAAGGGUCAUACAUAAUGUUUUGCACUUUACUGUGUGAAAACUAAAGCAGAAUUGAUUGCUGAAAUGUGUUUCAGAGUCAUAUCUAUGCCAGCACAAUGAUUUGGGGACACAGGAAAAGGUUCUGCAAGGUUCUUCAUCAUUUUCUAUUGCAAAAGGGUAGGUAUAUCCUAGUCACUGCAUCAAUAAAGAAUUCUCCUUCAAGUUCUCCACUUUCAUCUCCAGCGUCCCUGGAGGCCAGCCAGGACAGGAGUGUUUGGUUAGAAGGUUUGGUCAGCCUGAGAUGCCUGUAGGGCCGGGCUGGUAGGUAUAUGCAUUUCAGAACUCAUAUCUUUUUACCAACAGAAACUGGUAAUAUUAGGGAAUGACAGUGCAUCUUGGUUGUAUCUGUCCUGAGAUAUUGUUCCUUAGAAUUACUGUUACUUGCUUGCAUUUGAAAAGGUGUCAGUAGUUCCAGAGAAGAAGUUAAUUCCUCCUCUUCCUCCCAUCUGCUCACUCAGAUUUCCAGAGUAUCCUGAGGAAAACCUGCACAGGACCUUCAGGACUACAGAAAAUGUGACUCUUUGACUGUUCCCUGGUCAGAGAUGGCUUAGAGUGCCUUACCUCCUCCACCACCCAGCUCUGCCAGAAGAUUUGAAGCACCUUGCAAGCAUGACACCUUCCAGGAGGUACAAGGGACCACAUGACUGAAGAGAGCCGGGAGCUUUGGCGGUCGAUACACUGGGAUCUUGAUUUGUGAAGUUCCUUGAUGCCACAGACAACUAACUUCGCUCAUAUAUGUGUAUAUUACUCCAUCUUGAGAAGAGUAGGUUUUCUCACAUUUCCUGUACUUAAUGAAAUUAGCAUUUCACAUUUUCCUCUAAUUUACAGCUUUAAUUUAGUUGGGACAAUCUAUAUUUAUUCACUCUAAUUUCAAUUCUGGUAUGUUUUUGCUAGUUCAAUUGCUGUUCUCUCUGUGUUGUUUAAACUUUGAGGUAUUUAAAGCAUUUAAUAAUAGUUUAUUUGUCUUUCCUGGUUAUGAUGUAGAAUUUUUACAUUGUCUGAUCUUUCCAUUUGUGACAAUUUGGAACAGUUAAAGCCAAAUAACUAAAAAAGUAACAGGCAGAUUCUGUAUUUAUAAUUGGCACUCUUGAAUAGUGAAAAACUUUAUUUUGUACUUUUAUUGGACUGAAAUGUUUUCCCUACAGUGCUUGCUAGUGAAAUAGGCUUUUUUCCUAAACUUGACACACUGCACCAAUGAAGAACUGUUUAUUGUUAUUAUAUUUGUGUUUAUUUCCAUUUUUCCCCCCAGCUCUGUGGAAGAUUCUAUCUUCUAUUAAUUACACUGAAGGUUUUCCAAUUCUGUUUCAUGCAUAUGUUAGUAACCAUGUCAUACACAAUUUCUUCAGUUUUUGUCAGCCAAGAAGUAGAAGUAGAAUUGCAUUUUCCCUGCCAUAUGAUGUGUAUUUCAUGAUCACAAUAUUUUGGUUUCCCAUGGCCUUUGACAAUAGAGGUAAUAAUUUUUGCCCUAGAAAAGUUCCAAAUAUGAAGUUGAUGUUAAAUAUCUUUAACUUGGUUUGUCAAGAAUAGAAAAGAAAAUUGUCUUUUUUUUUUUUUUUUUACCUCCAGGUUCUAAAUUUGCAGCCAAGAUUUGGAAUAGUUGGAUGAAGCUAAUUUUUAUAACUAUGUGGAAGUUUUUCAGAGUUUUUAGGACGGUAAAGACUGUGGACUAUUUCUCCUGUGCAACGUAUUUUCCCUCAAAGUUCACCUAGACUGACAGACCAAAUUUAGUUCUGAAUUAUGGAAUCACAGAAUCAUAGGGGUUGGAAGGGACCUCUAGAGAUCAUCAACUAAACACUGUCUAAAUUCUGCUAGGCUUCAUAUGUUUCUUUUAAACUUUUCCACAGCAGAAACCGAACCUACCACAGUGUAUUUUUUGAGUUUGACCUAUAUAAUUCCUCUAACGACUUCUCCAGUGGUAAGUGUGGAGUGAAUGACCUUACAAAGCUAAGAGACUGUGCUUGUCGAGUAUGUUCUUCAUUUUAGAGCUGUGUCACGUUGCAGGUCACUGAAUCCUCAGAGACUCACUAGUCUCUGAGAAUGUGAGAAUGGAAAAUGGGGCCAUAUAUAGGAAGGUUAUCGCAAUGUCGCUACUACAGGAAAGCAAGAAUCUUCUAAACAAAGAGUGAACUAAACACUGUCAGACUCAGCAGAGACAUUUGUAAAGCUGAAAAUUCUACUUGCUGCAGAGUUUAUUUCUUUCUCAAAGCAGGUGCAAAUAGCUGUAGCACCAAAGGAAUCCCAGACUCUCUUCCACUCUGCUAUACAGCCCACACUUUCAUAGGAUGAUUUGAAAGGGAAUCUUGGUAUUUUCUGUCCAAAUUUGGACGUGGAGUAGCAAGCCUGGUCUGACUCUAACUGCAAGAUAAGCUAAAUGAUUUUUUUUUUUUGGAAGGUUGUUGGUUUAGCUCUGGGCUGGAGACUCUUCAUCCUUAUACAUAUGACUUUCAGAGGACACAGAAGCCCAGCCUCAGCUAGCAAGGUUUCCAGGGUUACCCAUUCCUCAGUUAACUUUCCUGGUUUGCACCAGAGAAAUCAGUAAUAAAAGACAUGGGUAAUAAAUACCAGUUCAGUCUCACAGACUCUCCGUUUUCCAGUGAAGACCACCAGAAAAUGUCAGUGUUACAGUCAACAGCCAAGGGCUCACCUGAUUAUGGGUGUGAGGACUUUUUGUGCUACUGUGGUUAACAUGGCAGAAAAUUCUAACAUAAAUGAGUCAGCUUGCCCAAGGCAAAGGCUUUUUUUUCCACCAAAAUUUUCCCACCAUGUGGCAGAUGCUAUCCUGUUCUUUGGACAGCCUUUAACUGAACAUCUCCCAGUGCUUCAUAGACACUAAGCCUGAAAUAUAUACUGCAGCUUUAAUUCUAUCAUGGCCGUUCAUAUUCCCAUACAGGACUCUUAGUCUGCUUUAAUUUGAGAGUUGAAAAGGGAGAUAGGCAAAGCUAGUACGAAUUUGAAAGACUUGACCAUUUCUCUGAAGUAGUUUGUUUAUAGUGCCAUCAACUGAACAGAAUGGCAUACUGUAGAAGUUGAAAGUAAUUUAUCUGAAGGCUGCUGGUAGAAAACCAUGAUAUGACAGUAAAAACCCUUAGGUAUCAUUCUUUCCUCCGCUUCAAAACAAUCCAGGAAUAAUUCUUAAACAUCUUACCAGCAUCCAAGGUAGUUUAGAGGAGUAUUGCAAGUGUGUAAAUUUCUCAGUAAAAUUUACUAUUUUAUAUAAAAUUCAUUCAAAUAUUUACUGCUUCUAAAUUACUAUCUACACUUUAUGUUUGGUCACUGAAAAAAGAUUACAUUGUAUUUACCUCUAAAUUCAUGGCUUCUGAAUGAGCUGAUGAGCUAAUGAGUCCAUUAAAAUGUGUAAUCAUACAAAUGCAUACUUGUGUGCAUUUAACGUGCUUUUGGUUUGGUUGGGGUUUGUGUGUGUUGUUUUUGUCUUUUCUUCUCGAAUGUGCCCUUAUGAACAAAACUUUAUUUAUAUGAAGGUUCCCCUCAUGUGGGUGAACACUGUUCAGGAAUGCUUUCAGACAUAGUUUGAUUUUUAUUUGAAUCAAGGUUCUAAAAACAGUUUUAUGCAAUAUUGUUAUUUCUACACCGAAGUAAGUUUCGAAGUGGAUUAACACGUGGUACCUGAGCUUUAAUACUCUUCCAUUCUCAAUUUGAAUUUAUCGGCCAUGGAGUUUCAAACUGGGGAAUAUCUUUAACCUUUUUAAUUAGUUCUUCAUUGUGGGGAACAGAACAAACUGGCAGACUACAGUCACAAUUAUCAAAAGCAAAUACAGACAGUAUUACACAUCCAGCUUCUGAUGAGAAAGGAUAAUGAGAAAUCUGAUUUGAUCCAUGACAAACCAUGGGUCAGCAAAUCAUGCCUGCUUCUUGUGUUCUAAACCAUGCCUUUUUUUCACUAAUUUUAACUUCAAUUUCUUUUUCAGAAGGGCAAACUCACGAACACUCACGCUUUCAUCAUCUGGGAAGCACUUGUAAUAGCCAUUCAAUAAUUUAAAAUUAAAAUAGCCCCCUGUUGUCUUUUCCAGGUAUAAUGCAAGACAGCUUUAUUUCCUUUUUUUCUUUUUCUUUUUCUUUUUCUUUUUCUUUUUCUUUUUCUUUUCUUUAAGAGGCUUUUUGAGACCUUAAAUGACCAACAUGUGAUCUGCCAUUAGCUUCUGCGACUGGAGUAGUGUGGCACAGGCAUCUAUGGGAAGCCUAUGGAGGAUGUUAUGAAGGCUUCAGACAUUUGUCUGAGGCAACUAAUGGAAGAAUAUAAUCAUUACAAACACCUUCAGUAGUCAACAGAGAAAGAGAGAAGCCUUCCCAGCUGUUCAGCAAAAUACUCUGCUAUGUGUCUCUUUGUUCCCUGCAUUUUGCUCCAGAGCGAUCCAGUGCCCUCACUGUUUGCUGACUGAGAAUUCUACUUUUAUUAAAAAAGUAAAUUUGCCUUGGAAUCAGCUAGUAUCCUACAGAAACCCUGCAAGGGUGCAGGCAGUAGGUGCUGAGAGCAGAUGUAGUUGCCACGUAGAGAUUAACCAGAUGAGUGUUUCAGAUGGCACUGCUGGGAUUUGUUACUGCUCUCUGAUGACCAAACACUGCGGAAACUAUUAUGAGAGUGAAAUUUGCUCUGUGCUGUGCUGCUACAAUACAACUACUGUUUCUUUUCAUCAACAUCAGAACAUGAAAAUAGAGCAAGAAUCAUGCACAAGCUGCAGCGAAGCUCAUAUUGAAGAUCUUCAUAUUUUUUGCAGCUAAUAAUGAAACAUUGUUCUUCAUACAAAUGCCUCAUUAACUCAUUAUUCUAGGCAAGGUGCAAGUUCAUAUAACUCACAAAUUAUGUUAUUUCAAUAAUAGCUGUGGAAGUUAGAAUGGAAACACUUUAAUCUUGCAGAGGCAAAUGUCAUGACAACAAUCAGUAAUGUUGUCUUCACUGUAUUAAGCCAGAAGCUGUGCUGGAAAAUGAAUAUGCUCCAUAUGCUGAUAGGCACACCCAGAGCCGCAAGCAGCAAUCUUUUUUUUAUAAAGCAGGAUUUAAGAGUGACAUUUAUACCAACCUUUUCCUUUAUAACAAAAUUUUGUUUAAAAACCUCCAAUGUAUUUUGCUUAUAAGUGAGGGCUUUUUUUUAUUCGUUCUUUUUUUUUUCUAAAUACAAAGCUGGGGACCUCUGGGCUCGGGAGUUCUAUGGCUAUUAUUUUUAUUUUACAAGUUUAUAAUCCUGCAGAAGUUCAGUUUAUGUUUCUGUAGUUCUCAUGCCAUAAUGUGCAAACACAAAAAGCAACAGUAAAGAAGAAAAUCUGAAAUAUUCUGACUUUGAUUUUACUGCAUAAGGCCCAAUCACAUUUUCCUAUCCUCACUUACACCAUUAACUUUUCUGUUAUAUUUGUUUAUAUUGCUUUUACCAAAAAAAAAAAAAAAUGUUUUUUUUGCAAUUUAUUUUCUGAGUACCAGGAUAUGCAGAUAGUUCCAGUGUUCCAUGGCUUAAACUGGACUAUGGUUUCAUUACAAAAUAAACUUUUCUCAGUUAGUUACUGUUAACAUGGCCCACCUAGGACAAAAUUUUGCUCUCCCACCAACCCAUUUCAUUCCUGAUGGAUAGAGGUCUGGAAUUCUGCAUACGCACCUGGGCACAACAAAAUCCCUCUGGAUUCUGCAAUCUUCUCUUCAAGUUGGUUGUUCUAAAGUUAAUUUGAAGCUUCAUAGCUUGUGGCAGCAAUAAAUAACAGAAAAGUAUUAGGCCGUGCAACUCUUGACUCAAGAAAAAGAGAGAAAUUUGAAGGGGAUGGGGACAGUCAACUUUGUUGACCCUGCUGCUAACAAAGAGGUGAAAUGAUGGGAAAAUGAUUGCUGUUGAUUAGAGGGGCCACCCUUAUGUCAGACUCACUCAAAAAACGUGACAGCCUGGGAGAAGUAAGUUUUCAAGACCUGUGUAGAAUCACACAGUUAUUUUCCUGCCCCAGCCAUUUGUAGCCAUUAGCAACUGCCUGUGUUACUUAUCCUAUGCUGGACUGUGUAUUUACAUGCACACAGGUAUGUAACAUUAUCUGUGUGUGUAUAUAUAUACACACAUACACACACUUAAUGGUUUUCUAGUAUAACCGAACCUCUUCUUGACAAAUAAUGGAUAUUACAAUAUAUUACUAACAGUGAAGAAUUUUCUUAGUUGCUUGUGCUUUUUUGGAGCAAAAGAGACAAGUUUCCGUGGUUAACAUGAAAUCAUGUGGACUAUGGUGCUCUCAGUUAAGAGGUUUCCUACUAUUUACUAUCAGAUCUAGCACAGCACCAAACAAAGAAUCUCUGUACCCAGUUGAAAUGUCUUUUUUAGACGCAGAAAUUUGGUCAGAAAAAGUCUACAGUGGUGACGUGCAAGAGCCAGAAACCUCACACUGCAGCUCUAGGUUCAUUCUAGUUCUAGGGAGACAUAGCCAGCCCUGAGCAAUUAAUAUCCUUUUCUCACACCCAGCUUCAGCCAGGAGGUGUCUUUCCUUCCUGGAAAAUGUUCCCAUCCAUUUUGUAACAGAUGAAGUAAGACAUCCUGGUAAGUAAAUAGGAAUUUGUAGCACUGUAUGAAUAUUCAUUUUUUCUGUCCAAACACAGCGAUUAAAACCUAACAUUUUAACCUCUGGAGAUUUCAGAAUGUGCAAAUCAGGUGCUAAAUGGCAGCUUUAGGAAACUAUUAAUACAAACCUAGUUUGCUCUGCUAGUAAAAAGCAGAGAUUUCUUAUCUCCAAUUUAAAACAUGACCCAAGUGGAUAUAUUUAUCAUUGCAAUUUUUGUCUUAAUACAUCAGUUGAUAGCAGGAGGACUGGAGCCAGAAGCAGCCACAGUCUCUGUGUGCAGUAGAAGGUGUAGAGCUGUGUGCCUGAACCUGCACCGUGCCACCUGCAACCAGCCCUGGAAUAGAAGGAAAGGUGGGUAAUACCCUAACUCUGACAGCCCUCCAUUAGAUCAUGUCCCUGAGCACCACAUCCAAACAGUUUUUAAACACAUCCAGGGAUGGUGACUUAACUACUUCCCUUGGGAACCUAUUCCAGUGCUUAACAACCCUUUCUGUAAAGAAGUUUUUCCUGAUAUCCAACCUAAACUUACCCUGGCACAACUUAAGGCCAUUUCCCCUUGUCCUGUCACCAGUGAGAAGAGACCAACCCUGCUCUCGCUGUAAGCACCAUUCAGAUACUGGAAGAGAGCAAUAACGUCUCCCCUCAGCCUCCUUUUCACCAGACUGAACAGCCCCAGCUCUUUCAGUCUCUCCUCAUAGGGCAUAUUCUCUAAGCCCUUCACAAGCCUUGUUGCCCUUCUUUGGACCUGCUCCAGCAUCUCAAUGUCCUUUCUGUACUGAGGUGCCCAAAACUGAACACAGUACUCGAGGUGAGGUGUCACCAAUGCCGAGUACAGGAGCAGGAUUACUUCCCUAGUCCUGCUCACCACACCAUUUCUCAUACAAGCCAGGAUGCCAUUGGCCUUCUUGGCCUCCUCUGGGCACACUGUUGGCUCAUAUUCAGCUGACUGUCCAUCAGUACACCAAGGUCCCUUUUCAUCAAGCAGCUUUCCAGCCACUCCUCCUCAAGCCUGUAGGGUUGCCUGGGGUCGUUGUGACCAAAAUGCAGGAUCUGAAACUUGGCCCUACUGAAACUCACACAGUUAACCUUGGUCCACUGAUCCAGUCCAUACAAGUCCCUCUGUAGUGCCUUUCUCCUCUUUGGCAGAUCAACACUCUCCCAACUUGGUGUUGUCUGCAAAUUUACUGAGGGUGCCUGUGGUAGAACUAAGCAAGGCACUACAGUACUGAAUAACUUUUAUGAGCACUUCUAGCAGGAUAAGCUAUGCUGAACUACAACAGGGAGAUGCUGAGGCUGAGCUGUCAUGACCUAGGAGUGGAUGUGGGAGCUCAUGUUUCACAGAAUGGCUCAAGCACAAGCACUGCUUUGUUCCCAGUGCUCCGUGGGGCAUGGCAUAUUUGCGCCUCUGCAUCAGAGCAGCUAUAGCCACACAACCAGGUAUGUACUAGCUUACUACCUAAGGGGAGGUUUUUUAGGAUUUGCUGCUUGUCUGAUGACUGAAAUUGCCAUCUGGAUCUCAGUGAGUGGUACUUCUAGGCAAACCUUUCUAGUGCUGGUGGGAAUCAAGCCAUAAAAACAUGAAUGCCUUCUUAAUUCUUUUUUUCAAGGUGGUGACACCCAGCUAAAACACUUGAAAGAACGAUUUAAGCAAAGUGACAAGCUAGUGGCACUUUUCUAACUAUUACUUUUAAACACUACAGGUUAAUCUCUUUGAUUGGGAAGCUUUAGGAUUCUUUUCCUAGAGAGCUCCCAAUGGCAAUCAGUAGAAAAGUGAAAACAUCUAAAUCAUCUCUUCUGAAAGCCAGUGUGAAGGAAAGGUAUGCUCUGAAGUCUGCACAUCAGGUCACAGCAUAAAAGAGAGAACAAGGUAAACAGUCAUGAUCUGUGUACCACCUUUUUUUCAUCUAGGAAUAAUUUCCUUUUACAAAAGAUCCAGUCUGGGUAAAAAACCAAAAGCAGAAUCUGUCUUAACAAAGCUAUUGAAAUUUGAGCAAAACUUUCAGUCAUUUGCAGCAAGAAAGGCAACCUUAUGACUCCAGGAAUAGAUUCCUUUUAUGUCUCUAUCAAAUCUGAAGCACAUUUUUAGAAUACUGCUAAAAUGACAGUUUGGAGGAAAAAUCAUGGCUGUUCAUCAAAUGAAUCUCAGUCUGUAGCGCAGACAUCUCUAAGCACUAAUAUAUUAAGUCGUGGAAGGAUAAGUUUCCAAGGUUGUCUUGGUGCUAAAUAAUGCAUGCAUGUUUCAAAUAUCCAGUGUGCUUAUUUCAUAACAUGGGGCACCUGCUGUUGAUAUUUCAAAUGAAUAUGUAAGAAAAAGAGUUGUUUCUGUCUCUUUAUUGAGGUUUUUUUUUUUCAUUUUAUAUUGCAUCUUCAAUAUGAAUUAAUUAUUUUCAGCUUGCUUGCCCUUUUUCUAAGAGCUUCAACUGGUAUGAGCACAAUAUUUUGUGCUUAAUCUUUGAAUGCAAAGUAUGAUGAGGAUUGAGGUCUUAUUUCCAAAUUGUUGAAUAAAUAUUAUGAUAAGGUAGCAAAUUAUUAAAUAUAACUUAACUAGAUUAAAUACUGAAAGUGAUUUAGAAGUCUGUUUAACUUAAUUUUUUGUUUUAUUUGUGAAUCUUUAGCUAGGAUACUUUUUAAAAUCCUCUGUACCUGUGACAAACCAAUAUACUUGAUUUCUAUUCCUUGUGUUCACCAUGGAGGUACUUCUAAAACAUUUAUAAUAAUAGCAUUGUGGUUACAUCAAGUAAUUUGUCAACUCGGAAUGGAAAUAUUUGUAAAAGAAACCACAGUGUCUAAAAAUAGAGCCUGUUCGUUGGAGACGAACUCCUUUGAGCAAGAUGGUUUUUAACAGCUGGUGAAGUGUUGAUUUUUUAAGCCAUGUAGGUGUUGUGCACACAUAAGAUGUUAGUAAUUGUGUACCGGGAGCCACACAUUUCCUCUGUGUACACAGAACAAGAGCGCUUCCUCUUUCGAUCUCUGCCACCACUUAUCUCUCCAGGUCAUAUUAAAGAACAGAUGGAGUCAGUCUUGCUGCUGAUGAGAGGAAAUGUAGAGGUGACAAAUACAUAUCCAAUGACUUUCUGUUGCUGUUCUGGAGUGGAGACAAAUUCAGUGAGAAUAUAAAUGUGUGGUAAGAAGGCACUGGGAAAAUAAAUGUAACUAGCAUGUCACCCACAAGAAAUGUGGUGUGUUUAAUAGACUGGAUUGGUUUUCAGCGCUCUGUGGCAGAUUACUUAGGAGUUACAGUGAGUUCUUUCCCAGACAUCUGGGUUAGUCUUACGACAUAGUCGUAUGAUAUCAGCUGCACAUAAAGAUGUGUUGGAAAGUAAUGCCAGGCACUCAGAUGCCUGCAAAUCUGGCAGCAUAUGCAGAUUUCACAUUUAUCUGAUCUGAAAAAUGUAGCUCUGGGGAGACUCAUCCUUUUGGGAAGAUAUUUUCAUAUUUUAAGGUAUAGUUAACAAAUACUGUCUUUGGCAUAUGCUAUCAUAGUGUCUUAAAGCAAAAAAGAACAUAAACUUAAUAGAGCUGAUUAUGCUGAAACAUGCCUUUAUACAUUCUUAGUCUCUCUUUUGCACACUGCACCUGAUUUUAAAUCUACAAAGUCUAUUGGAAACAUAAGCAUAUGCUUUUUUUUUUUUUUUUUUUUUUUACUCUUGCUUAUUAGGAAAGAUUCAGAUGAUAAGCAACAAAGGGGGACCUGACAGUGCAUUCAACAAAUUUACAAAUUAAACAGGUGCAUGAUAAGUAAGUUGGAAUCACUUCAUUUACAUUCAUUUUUCGUGAAGUAAAUCCUAUAGCACCAGAAUGCUAGUACUACAUAGGCAGUAAGAUGAAAUAGAAACUGAAGAAUCAAAAAGAAGCUUUUGAUCACCUUGAUAAUCAAAGGUUAAUUGUAUAGAAAACUCAAGGAUUUGAGUGGAUUCCCUCCUGGGUUUCAGUUUUGUUUGAGACUUUUCUCCUUGUAAUCUUUCCAUAGCCUUGACCUAUGUCCAGGGGUCAUGUUUUCUCAGUAUUUGCAACACAUUUUGAAUAUUUAUGCCUUUCCCUUGCAGUAGGAAUGUUAAGAAAUGUGCAGGUUUUUUUUUCUGGACAGAGAUGACAUCUGAAGUUAGCUGUAUGUUGAAAGUAGUAAGUAUUGGGAUUUGGGUAACUGAGGACAGAAGGAAGAAGAUGGUGGGAAAGGAGAAAGUGAGUGUUGUAGAAAAAAAGGCCAAUUUUUAUUGAGACUAAAAUAAAUGUAUUUUUCUUAUCAUUUUCAUAGCAAGCACAUUUAGCUUCCCUUUCCAGGAUCCUGAAAGUCACAUGGAGGAGAGGAGAUAAUUCACAGUUAUACAUGCACACACAUGCGCAUUGCCUAGCAAACCUCCCUGCUGCAUGUGUUAAUAUAGUGCUAGUUUCUGUGUUUGUGAGUUGUCAUUAAUGGUCUAAAUGUAUGUAGGGUCUGGAGAAGUAUUUUGAUCCCUCUGUAUUUUUGUUAAACUUCUGCUUCUUUUUUGACCCUGUGAGAUAAGUGAUGCAAGUAGUUGAGGGAGUACUUUUUUUUCCCAACCCCACAAAAAGGUCUUCAGAUUUUUCAUUUGCAUGAGAAACUGUUAUUUUAGAAGGUAAUUGGAAAGAAAUUAUUUUUAAAAACAGUUCAACAAAGCAGACAGUCUGCACUUGUAAAUCUCAUUAGAAGUGCUUCAAGCUGCAUCAUGAUGGCCUGGAAUUCACUGAUAUGCAGCUGUAACUCCAGAUGAGUAGAAAAUGGUAUAAAGAUUAUAUUUUACUUGGCUUUACAUAUGAAUAUCAAAGAGUAGAACUUAGUUGUCUGGUUUUUAAAUUCGUUUUUUUUUUUUAGUGAGAGUCAGCUGGGGUUAACAACAAAGUAACUGCAAUUUCUUUUCAAUCAUUAACAAUUAUUAUUACUUAUUAUUUUCCGUUCUAAUUUGGAUCACCUUACAUGAACUGUAGAGCUUUCAAAAGCCAUGAAUGAUACCUAAUGAAGAAAUAACAGUUUAGCAGCAGGCGUUUGAAGUUAAGGGGCUUGCUGAGGAUAGCAUUGCAAGUGGUAGAUCUGAAAGUGAAACUCAGAUCCUUGGAUACCCAAUACUCUGUUUCAAUCUGUCCAAAACUGAGGUGCUAUUUUCAAGAACAGAUAUUAUAGCCCCGUUCAGUGGUUGUUUUAUUUCAUCAAAACAUUUUUUAAAUGCAGUUUUUACUGCAUUUUUAUCAUGAUUCUCACAUUGGGUAGAGUUCAGUAGCCUUGGCCAUGUCAAAAUCACAUACUAGUUCAAGUUGACUGUCCAAGAUUCCUUUCUAUUCAGUGAAAAGGAAAGGUUGUUUUCAGGAAGUGGCUCCUCGUAGACCCUCUGCUAUUGUACUGGCUUGAUCUGUGGUGUGCCUUUCCCUCCUGAAUGCAAUACUGCAGACCAAAGUCAUAAGGUUACUUGAGGGUACUCCUGUCACAAUAAGAAUUUGUCACAGACUUCAUUUCAGAUAUUUCUAAUAAUCUGUAUUCUCUACAGAGGCAGGUUACUGUUCAGCAUUUAGGAAGAAAGAUACUAGAUUAUAAACAAUUCAAAAUAUUGUAAGAAAGAAACAUCCUGAGCUGCCUUUGAGUAAUGCUUAAAAUUAAUUUCACUAUGUUGAGGAUAAGAGGCUGCACAGCAAAAAUGAAUCACUCCAAAGGAGGACUAAGGGAAGUACCCAAUGAUUAAGUGGGAAAAAAAUUGUCAUAGUGUUAAUGACAUUCCAGCUAGGAAAGUAUUCCAGCUAGAAAAGUCUUCCAGAUGUGUGCAGCAUGGUUGGCUGCAGUUGUAUACUAGACAACACUGUGGAGCAAGAUAAAUGCACAGCAGAUUAUGGUUAUGUGAGGAUUUUGCUUGGAGAGGCAUUCUGAUUACAGGAAAACGCUCUGAAGGCAUACAAGGGCAUAUAUUUACCUGCAGUAUGUCAGCCUUCCCAUCAAUGACACCCAGUUAACUGCUCUUUCAUAGAAUCAUAGAAAAGCUUGAGUUGGAAGGGACCUUAAAACCCACCCAGUCCCUUGAGUGCCUCCAAGGAUGGGGCAUCCACAGCUCCUCUGGGCUGCCUGUGCCUGUGCCUUACCACCUUCUGAGUAAAAAUGUUUCCCUAACAUUUAUCCUAAAUCUCCUCUUACUUUACCAUUAUCUUUUAAAAAGGUCUAUUCUCCAUAUAAUACCACAGCCUUUUAAUGAUGUUUGCAACAUCAAAUUUAUUAUUUAAACUUAUAUGUUUCUUUAAGUUUUAAUGUAAGCUUAGGUGGUUUGGAAUCUUAAGAAUUAAUCUUAAAGAAAAGCUCUUAAGUGGCAGAUCAGUAUCAUGUUUCCUACCUUGCUUUAAAGCUUUGAAAAUUGGACCUUGACAGAUCCAUGACUUACACAAAUACGUACAUCUAAUCUCCUUUGAAACCACUGGACAUGAGGCAUUUUAGUAUCUUUUGAGGACCUGUAGUAUAACACUUGCUACCUGCUUGCUGAAUGCAAACCAACCUUUUUCUUGUAAUUUUCUGUCUCAAUAUGCAGUUAAUACAACUGCUUUCACAGUUUGUUAUGCCAAAGUCAGCGAUCCCUUCACUUCCUAUUAGAAGUUUGCAGAGAAGACAUUUGCCUAUGGGCCCAGGGAUGGCAUUUGUUCUAGUGAGAAUGUUUGUUGCUUUCUAGACAGACAGAAGUAAUAGCACCUGAUACUGGGACUUGAUGAAGCAGAUCUGUGAAGCGGAAAAGUAUCAAAGAGGGGAAGAAUGUUGUGACAAAUUUAGGCAAUCUACAAUUCCAUGUAAAAUAGCACAGUGCUGGAAGUUAGCCUGCAUGCUAUACCCAGCUGGAUGGCAUCUGUAGGAAUCAUCUCAUUUCAUAAUAAAUCUGAAAACUUGUUUCUUUUUAACUCGUAUAACUAAAUUACAUUAUUUCUGAACAAAAUAUUUACCCUUGAGGUCAGCUGCUUUGAAAUUACAUUGGCUUAGAGAAUUCUCAUUUAAUUGCAACUUUCACAUACAAACACAGUAAAGUCUGACGACUUUGCUAGUGCUACCCGUGCAUGACUUAAUUUUAGUUACUACUAAAACAGCCUUCCUCAGCCUUAUGAUGAAAAACCUGUAUUUGACUAUGCAAGCAGGUAUCAGCUGACUAGAAUGUGUAUUCAAGGCAGGUGGAAGUGUAACUUCUAAUCCUGGUGGAGCUAUCUUAUGUUGGUUGGGGCAAGGGUAAUCCCCCAAGAUGCCUCAGGAGAGAUCUGUCUUUUAAAAAAUAUUUCAGUGAUUGCAGGCCUCAUUGCAUCUCCCACAGAGCACUUCAGGAUGAUUACAGCCAUCGUAGUCUGAGCACAGGUUUGUCUUCCUCCACUUUGCUGUCUCUCCCCCUCCUUUUGUUCCUUCACAAUGGCUUAGAAGCUUUCUGAAUAUAAGAGAGCAGCUCCAGUUUCAUGGAGUGCCGUGAAAUAACAAAGAAACUCUGUAUCUAAUUUAGCCUAAUAUGAUUCACGCUUCUUUGUUUAGAAAUAGCUGUAAGUGAGCUCUGCAGUUUGGAGUUCUGUUCUGGGAGGUUUUACCUUGUAACCUUAGCCACACCUCCUUCUCCUUUUUACACAAGCAUGUUAUUGCACUUCCUUGGAUUAUUCCAAAACUAUAUACAAAAAAAUUGUGACUCAAGCACUUGAAAAUACAUUGUUUUGUUAUUAUCACUUACAUACUAAAGCUGUGAUUCGUGAUUAUCAUCUUCUUAAGUAGUACUAACUCGUAAUAGAAAAGCUGUUUUCUGGUACUUACUGUUUAUAGCUCCUUUUUGUGCUUUAAGAGUGUACUCCGAAGUAUACAGCAUUUCUUUUCUGCUUUGUGAUUCUUAGACCAUACAAAUUGUUCACUGUCAUUUCUUCUGACGUUUCCUGAGACAACAGAGACUUGACAGUGCAUCAUGUGUCUUUAUGGCGUCAGCUACCUUCAAAUCAUUAACUAAUUAUUGGAAGUAAACAUUUACUGUAUAAUGGUUGAACAUUUCUCAGUUCUAUCUGUCUAUCAGCAUAAUUACAAUUGAUAUAAACUUUAUUUGUCAAAAAUGUCAAAUUGUGGUACAUUUAAACAAUUAUAACUUUUACCUUUAAUACCAAUUUAAGUGCUUUCCAAAAAAAAUCCAGAUCCUUUAAUCUAUCAUUGAAAUGGUCUUUAUUCUCAUUCUUAAUUGAUUAUUUAAGGUAAUAUUUUACAAUAUUCUAGAGCAGUGUGAUAUCUCCAUUUGAAUCAAGUGUGAGUUCAUUGUGUCUAAGUGGUGGCAGUGAGUCACCAAUGGUUGCUCAUGUCUCUUUGUUUGCCCUCAGAUAAUUUUUUUCCCCUCUCUGGGAGCUUCUUUUCAAAACACUGUUUCUUUCCGGGAAUGUCUUCUACUGUGUGUUGAAAGUCACAUUUCAUGGUACAACUAUAUGGGAUUUUAAGGUAUCUUUGGUACUACUGCAAAAUGGUGCUACCAUAAGUCCCAAAGGCACUUAUGCUCUCUUCAUCUCCAUAGUGAAACUGGAGUUCAGCAGGACUUUAGUGUAGACUCAGGUUCAUAACUAAGUUUCUCUCACAUCCCUUUUUGCUCCAGGGAGAGAUGGAGCAUAUUGCCAGGGCAGGUAUAACUGUAACACACAGGCAAGUCUUUGGAGAAAAGAUUAAGAGGCUGUGACUGCAUGAGCAGUCAUACAGAAGCCCUUGCUCCAGAGUCAAGUAGCAGGUGUUCUAAACACUCAGAUUUAGAAGCUAAUGGAGUAAAAGAAGCAGCUUUUCCAAGCAAUGCUGAUUACUAAUAGCUCUCCGGUGGGGGAUGAAGCCCAAACAGCUCACACAACACACGCUCUUUCCUUGGAUUGCACAGCCCAAAGGCAGGGCAGUUUUCUCAUUUUAGAAAAUUGUGAAGUUGUGAGGUUUUCAGCCUUCUCCUAAAGAAAGGAAUCAUGUGUCCCAUACAAUGACAAACGGUUAAUUAAUACCAGAAGAGACCUGCUCUGGGGAUCUGACAACAUUCCCAUACUUUUGAUUUCACACAAACCCCAAAUUUUUUGUUACAUAGGAGAAAUAAAAUUCCAAAUCACAAAUGAAAAAGAGAAACUUCAGUACAGGAAUGCCCACGCAGUUUGUUUUGACCAUGUAAAUACUUUUCCUCUAGUUUUAUUAAAUUGGAAGAACUAUUGAUUUUUUUCUCUCACAAGAUGUUUUAAGCUUUAUGUACUGUGUUUUGCAAACUGUCUGGACAUUCUUUUUUUGUUGUUGUUGUUUAUUUGUGUGUUCUGUUAAUCUAGAUUUCUCUUCCUUGGAAAUCUUUCAUUACUGAUCUCAUUUUUCUUAUCCACACUGUUCUUUCUAGCUCACUGCUUCUUCUUUCUGCUCACUUUCCUCUUCUCAGUCAAUGCAUCUCCACACUAAAUAUUUCUGUAAAUAUUUUGAAAUCAUGAUGAUGUUUUGGUGUGGCUUAUGUAUAUGAAAAGUUUAAUAUAUUUGCUUUAGAAAAAGAGUCUAAGCAUAAAAAAUUACAGUUGUAAUUUUACAAAGCAUCUCUCUCAGAACAAUUUUUUCUUGACCAAUCUGAGCCUUUUCAGAUUGUCAUUUAACAGAAAACUAUGACAGCCUAUGUGUCCACACUGGCAUAAGGCAGCAUUCUGACUCACUGCCCAUAAAGUUUCAUAUGCAGUAUAAUCACACAUGAAUAUAUUAAUUAUACUGUUCCCCCGAGUGCUGUUGUUAUUUUAAUUUACUUGCAGUGCUGAAUUCAGAGCAAACUAAAAAAUAAUGAGGUCAGAGGAACUAAUAGCCAAGUUAUUUUUGAUGUGUGCUGUCAAACUGUUCUUCUUUCAGGUUUUCCUAAUAGACUUUUCCUCUGAAGUAUCUAGUUUCUGUACUACAAUCAUGUGUCAACAUUUUUUUUUUAGAAAAUAUGUAUUAGUAAAAGGAUCACAAAAUUCAAAAUUUUUUUGUAGUAAAGCUGGAUCAGUCAGAAAAAUGUCUGGAGGAACUGUAGUUGCUUUCAGGUUAAUUUUCCAAAUUUAUUCUCCUAUGGAAAUAAACAUUUGUUUUAUAAUAGUCUUUAUAGUUUGUCUUAUAAAAGGUCUUUAAUGUCCUUUCCAACCCCAAAUCUUCUGUGACUCUUUCAUUAUCUCCUAUAGCAGGCUAUACAUUUAAUCCAUUAUAGAAUUUUCUUAAUAACCCACAGCUUUACACAAUCUUAAAUCUCAUACCUGAUUUACAGACUUCUAUCUUUGACAACAGAAGGUGCAACAAGAGUUACUAUAUUCAGAAAAAGGUUGUGAUUUUUGCAAGGAGUGAAUACCAUGUUCUGAGGAGUAGCACAGAUGUGAUCUAUAUAUGUUGACUCUUUGAAGUAGAAGCAUUCAAUGAUUUAUUACCAAAAAAGAUGAAUACUCAGAAGUUGGGGAAGGUACACUCCUCCUGAGGAAAAGAUAUUGUGUUAGCUAAUAAUAUAGCUUCACUUACCCAGCACUGUAUUACGGGACCUCUCGACCUCUUCUCCUUCAUGUUCCAGACUUGCCUCCAUCUCCUAAUUAUGCAGGAGGGAGAGGCCAUCUUUCUUUGUAGAAUAAAAAAGAUGAAUUGCAGAUUAGUAUAAAACCAUUUCUCUUUGCCCCGUUUCUUCACUUUCCUUGUCUUUAAACUGCAAGCAGUGCCCCAAAUAUUUAAACAUAUUUAUCUAAGUAAAACUGUUUCAAAGUACUUAGCAUCUGAGGAGCCACUUAUCUCAUGCUGUACAUUCAUCAAACAUAGCAGGUUACCAGCUACCCUUUAAUAACACAAAUCUAUCAAAUGGACAUCACCACAGGCACAUGGAACUGAAUGGAGUAAAAAAGACUUUUCUGAGGGUCAGAGACUUCUUUGCAAGUUUUUAAACUAAUAAGUCACUCUCUCAAUUAAAAACUGUUAAACACAUCCACAGUAAGUUGAGAUGACUGCAACAUUUUUAACAAGUUUGUGAUUUUUGUGGUGGAGGUGACAGAAUCCAUCACAUGCACCUCUUCCUACAUAGGACUUACCUGCAGACUUCCUUCACAUUGUCAGAACAUUAUUGUAUAACCCUGGCGUAAUAUUUUCUAGCUGUUUUUCUCUGUAUAGCCUCUCCCACCACGUUUAUCACCUCCGUAUUUGAGUACCAUUCAUCAGUGCAUUAAGCAGCUUAAGUACCAUCUGUCAUUUGUUUGUCUUCUGAUGCUCCCUGUAGGGAGUGUAAUGUGCUCAAAAAGGUGCUUUAUUUUGAUACAAUUUUUGUUGGGGUAGAUUUUUACAUGUACAUAAAAACAGAAGGAUAUCUGCCUUGACCUUAGAGAAGGUGAAGAUUUCAGUGAUGUUCUAGGUUCCUUGUUCAUGGGAGCAUUUGCUCUAUGAACUGGAUCCUUACUCCUUAGGAAAGUUUUGCUUUUCUAAGAGGACCCCUGCGCUUCCAGAACGUACUACUAGCCCUUUCCAAAUCUAAGUAGCUGUUUUAAUUAUCCUGUGUUCACACCAUAAAUCACUUCAAUGAAAAGACUCGUGGAUUUGAUUAAGGUGAUUUUCAGAUCAUCCAGCAAGGUGAGGCAGAAAAUGAUAGCAUUGCAGUAUUCCAGUAGCUUCCGUUACUGAAGAGACAGAUAAUUCUUAAUCGUGUACUUUCUGUCUCAGAUGGGUACUACAGUUGAGUUCACCAAUCAGUCAGGAUGAUUUUUCACACUGUCUCAACAACGAUGAUAUUAUCUUUCUCUGCAGGCUCUCACCCAGGCCUUUCUGAGAAAAAAAUCCAUAUGCCACUUUAUUUCCUUCUCAGAAACAUUCUGAACUUUCAAAAAGUUCUCAGGUCUUUCCUAACUUGCUGUUGGCCAUCUUUAAUUUCUGAAAUGCUUUCAUUAAUCACUUCAUUUUGGCUUAAGAGGAGAAUUUCAGAAAUUCAGCAAUUUAGAAGAAAUGGAUGGGAAAGGUAGGCAGCUCUCAGAUACAGUCCUGUUUGUGAAACUUAGUGUGUGUUUCUAUAUAAGCUGUGUUUUGUUUCUCUGUACUUCAUGUUUUUGUUGCUUGUUUGUAGCAUAGACAGAUAAACAGACAGCUGAAGUCAUUAGUCCCCAGAUGCUGUGUUUAUUAUCAAGAAAUUCUAAGAACUGCAAACACCAACUAGUGCAUGACCUUACACAAGUUCAUUGUUAAAGCAUGUUUUUGUGGCAAAACUGAGUGUAGUACUGCUUCCUGUAGUAGCCUAACACUAAAGCACCUGCUAUAACGAAUAGCUCUGAAGAGGUACAAUUGAUUUCGAUGUGAAGAAAUAAUGGGUGAAUGAAUUUGGUAAUAAUAUACAAGUGUUUGUCUAGAGGUGAGGUGAAAUGUGGAGUUGAAAAACCUAUAAAUAAGUUGCAAGACUUGCUGAAAAACUCAAGAUGCGAGAUGGAAGACAAGUGCAGCACAUCUUGUUACUGCUUUCAAAACAACAGAAGAAUCUAGAACUAUUAAUGUGAGGGCAGUUGUUACACCAAAAUUAGUUCUGGCUCUCUCUCUCUGGGCUAUCAGUAAUGCAGCACUAAGUUCUAGCCUUAUCUCUGCUCCGUUGUGCAGGUCUUUCUAUGUAUGUGAUUCUUAAAUCCAUUUAGUGAAACCCGGCAUAACGCUCAGGGUGAUUCUGGCCUCCGUUUUUAAUUAAACUUUUAAAUCAUAGAAUAUAGAUAAGGUCUUUAUUGCAGUCAGUGGUACAUCAUUUCUGUACACAGGCUGAUCCCUGCUUCAUGACAGGGCCAUUGCUAACUUUAAUUAUUUUGGUCAUUUUCUGUCCUUCUAUAAACAAGGACAGAUAGUAAAGUCACAGCAGAGCUAUAAUGUUCAGAAAUCCAACUAUAACCUUUUAUCUCUAUUAGCUCUUGCUCACCUUUUUUACAGUUUAAUUUUACUGUAGCUGAUGUACCAGUGCAGAGCUAUGUGAAAAGGAUUUUUUUUUAAGUGUCCAAUAAAAUCUCCUUUUCUGAUAAUGCAGAGGUUUUCAGGCUCUCAAUGAGAGAUCAUAUCUAAUCAUUUCCUCAGGACACAGUGCCUCACAGGUGCUAAUGGGAAGAGCUGUAGCUCCUAAGGUUUGAUUCUGUAAAGACUCUGGUCCACAAGGCAUAGUCAGUGCCCUGCAGAAAUCAAACAAAGCAGCAGUAGAUGUAAAGGUCCACCAUGAGCAGAGGCUGGAGGGGUGGCACCCAGGGGUCUCUUGCAAAUUAAAUUAUUCUUUGUUCAAAAAUAUGGAAAUGUAACAGUAAUGCUGGGUGGGAUGAUUGAUCAGGGCAAACCUUGCUCUGCUGACAGUACAGAUUGGAACAAAAACUAUGUGGAACAGUACCGAUAGUGAAGAUGUGGGAGCUAUAAAAGAGUGGCAAAAGAAAGUUCAAAUUAUUUUUCUGCCUUUACAAGCAACAGAGGAGAGAGAAUCUUAGGGAUGAGAGGCUGUACAGCUGACUGGUAGGAAAGAGAAGAUUUUGAUUUUCUGGAGCACCAAACUUUAUGAUAGUUUACUGGGAAUUGGUGCCAUUUGUCCAGAACAGGCUGUAUCUUAUGGGAAGGGAGCUAAUUUUCUAAGCUAGAGACUAGCUUGGAUAAGCAGGAAGGUAAGUAGCAACAUGAAACAGGGGUGUAAGAAUAGUCAAGGUAGUAACCACUUAAAUUAAAAAACAGAGUGGUCUGAUAUGGGAAGGAAAGGGAAGGCAAGACAUUUUUCACUACAUUUUUACCCAGGCUAGAAGACUGACUAAUGAGCUCAGGGAACCAGUAGUUCUAAUUGAUGAGAAAAGAUUUGAUUUAACGGGUGGUAUUGAAGCCUAGUGGGAAGAUCUGUAUGAGGAGAAUGUUAAAAUCUCUAUCUGUAACCUGUUCAGGAAAUACAGAGCAAGAAAAUUAAAUUAUAUAUUGAAGAUACAAUUGAUAACAGAACUACAACAUCUUGAAUGCAUAUGAAUCAAUGUACUUACUCAAAUGUUCAGGAGAUUUUAGAUCUGCACCAGAAGAUUGUCUGAGUGCCUAUGUGCAUGCUUACUUCAGUAAUAUAUGGAAGUAACAACUGUACCAUAGAUGACUUCAGCCCAGGAGGAGUAGACAGACAGGGAAAGGCAGUCCUGUAAAAUAUUAGGUUUCCCAAAACUGGAAAAGAAUUUUUUUUUUUUAAUAAAAAGGUAAAGCUCAACAUGUUUGGAAAUACUACUUUAUGAGCUUUUAUGAUGUAGAGACUUCAGCAUUUUGAUAAAGCAUUAUUUUGUGACAUGAUGAAAUAUCCCCAAAGGCACAAUACUUUUUCUCCUGGGAAUUAAAGCAAAGCAGGAAAAAUAAAUAAAAUCUGUGUUUCAGCUGCUCCAAAUGUAAUGCCACUUGUUUUAUCAUGUUGGUCCACAAGGUCAGAGCCAGCUUUUGGUGAUGUGGCGGUAGAUGUUUAAUCUUCCCACCAAUAUACCGUUCUAUGUUGUUGCUGUGUGACAGAUGGCAGCAGAGGGGCAGUCUGGCAAAAUGACAUCUAAUGUGGGAGUGCAGAUAAAGCAAAGGGGUGUAAAUGAAUUCAUCGAUGUGGAAAAAAUGGCACCCCCUGACAUUCAUUGACACUUGCUGAAUGUUCAUGGGGACCAAACAGUGAAUGUGAGUGCAGUGAGGAGUGGGUGUUGUGUUCCAGCAGUGCUAACGGUGACAGUGGACCAUUUCCACUGGUGCAGAUGUUUAUGAGAGUGGUAUGCAGGCUCUUGUCCAUGGCUGGAAAAAAUGCAUAGCUAAUGGUGGUGACCAUUUUGAAAAAUGGUAUUUUGUAGCUGAGAAUUUGCUCAAUCAAAUGGUGUUAUUGUGCUCUUUGUAUCUGUUGUAGUUUCCAUGGAAAUAAAUAGGAGGCCUUACUUUCAGAGGGAAUUAUGUAUAUAUAUUUUUCAGAGGUACUCAUCACUACAUUCUACAUCCUAGUCUGUGCAGAGCAAUACAAUAAAGCUAAAAUCAGGAUCCAAUCCAAUGCUUUCUGUUAGCUAAGGUAUAAAAAAUAAAGCAAACAAACAUGAAACACCCUUUGAGGCUGAAUCAGGUAUAUUCAGAAGACAGCUUGUUUCAGUGCUGGAAAGAACAGUUUUGAAAGUGUUUUUGUUCUAUCUUUAUUUUUCACUCCUCUUGUUAUCAGCUUGUUAAAAUAUUGCCAGGCUAAGAGAGAAAGCUGAGGACAUAUGUUAGCAGAGACGAAGGGGAUAAUAAUUUGACAGGUUUUUUAAAGAGAGAAUUCUUUCAUUUUUAGCAAAACCACUAACUUCAAUUUAAACAGCUCUCCUGUCUGUCUUCAUUUUUACUAUGGUAUCGUGUCUGGCAUUUAAAGAGGGUACAUUUUAAUGCUUAGAGCAAGAGAGAGACUGUAGAAUAGCACACCUGUAAAUCUACUGGCUCCCGUUGGAGGUCAGUAGCAAUCUGGGAUGUUUAGCCUCUUCCAGGAUCAGUCCUGGUAUGAAUUCCAUCAGUUUUUCUGUAACAAUGUUAAUUCCUUCUGUCAGACCUGAACAAAUGGCUUUUCAGUCACAGGACAGCCAAAGUGACAGGAAUAGAUUAAUGUCACACAUAGGAAUGGUUGGAUUUUGCAUAUUGUCACCCAGUGCAGUCAGAGUGAGCAAAUUAAAGAAACGACAUCUCUACCUCCUCUGCUUUCUGCAAAUGCUAACAAAGCUGUGUGGUUUGACUGCUGCUGACAGCUUGGUCCCAAGCUUGAAAAGCAAGAUAAUGUCAAAGGGCUGCUGUCACAAAACUGUUAUAUGCUUAUUGGUCUGGCUAAAGUGUUUCCACUUUAAUGUUUUUCCAUCAUAAAACUAUGGCCAUUUCGACUUCAUCUAUAAUGCUGAGAGGCUAAUUUAUAGUGUUGAGAAGCCAUAAAACACCGAGGAUGUCCUAACACUCUAAUGACUUAUAGAUACUCUCCUUUCAUCUGCAGUUCCCUGAAAUCUGUUUAGCUGGAUGUAUGGUUUGGGAGAGAUGAAGUCUCAGGAUUUCUGAAUUCUGCUUUAAGGCGGAGGUAGAGACAAAAAGAUUAUUCAUCUAGGAAUUUAUUGCUAGAAUAACCAACUGUUGAGCUUGAGACUAGAGUUCAGCCUUGCUCCAAGUAACACACACAUUCUUGUUUUCCCUUAGAGCCUGAAAGCGCAUCUUGAGUGCUUUGUGAAAUAUACCAUUUGUCUUCAAUUUUGCAUCUUCCUGAAACCACAGAUUUCAAAGCACACGGGACCGCUCAGAUAAGUCAUAUAAGCUCUCUUUCCUGGAGAUGUCAGCCAAAAUGCCGCAUGAUCACCAACAAGCGCAAAAAUGAACAAACUUCAGGGAUCAAGUCUAAGCAAGAGAUUAGAGAAGACAUCCCCCCAGAAUGCUCCCAAACUUCCUACUCUGGUUCCUCCUGAAGAGCAGAAUUCUGCUUGGACAAACUACCUACAGACUGAAAUCCAAGUGUGUUGAUGCCCGGGCUGUCUUUUCCCCAGAAGCAGGAGCAAAAGAGAAGAAACUUUUCUUCACUUUGCAAAACGAUGUCUCUUUUGCACCACUGACUUUUUUCACUCCAUAAAUGAUUUCCAGGUACCUGUCUGGAAGAGAAGAAGAAAUACAUACCCCAGGAGGCUUUGCAUUCAGAGAAGAGAUAUAACCCCUGGCAAGGUCACCUGAUGUCCUUUUCUUCUUUUGGCUCUCCUCCCUGCUGCUUGACCCAACUGCACAUCUCACCUCAGUGUUACAGUGAGGCUUUCAGCUCUUGGACACUCCUUCUCUCAUUAUAUUUGAUUGAUUAGCUUCAAUUCUUAUUAUAUUGUAUUAUAAUGUAUUAUCUUGCAUUCUGAUACUAUAUUUAGUAAAUUAGUUUCUUUCUUCUCAGAUUGUUGCUCCUGGUCUUAAUUGUUCAGGGUCCCCUGUUUCCUUUUUUUGGAGGUCUGGAUCUGUGGAUCCCUCCACCCUGCCAGUCAUGGAACUGGGCUGAACCAGAUCGUUACUGAUCAAUCUCUAAAAAUGAAUGAAAUUUGAGGUCUGAGAAAAGAUUUUUCAUGCCACCCAAAUUGUCACCUGGUUACUUCGAUGUUGGGACAAUGGGGUCAACAGUGUGUGGCAAGAACAUAGAGAAGGUUGCCAACUGGGUGGCAUUGCUAGGGACUCAGCCAUUGGUAUUAGUACAUGCUAGAACCAGGCCUCUUCACCCUCUGAAAGAGGAUGUUGUUAGCUGUGAAAGAAAGAUACCCCUUCAAAGACGAUCUGAUGCCUGAGGGGAAAAAAAAAAAAAAAAAAAGGACUGAUAGGGAAAAAGACAUCUGUUACUUGAGAGACUAUGCUGUGGUGGAAAUGUUACGUAGCCCCAUUUUCAUUCCUGAUGAGCCAGACCAAGAGCAUGAUCCUGGGAGAGUCAGGUGUACACAAAGUAUGUGGCAUAUAUUCACAAAAACUGCACCAGAAAGGUAUGCCAGUUCGUGUGCAGCAAUGUAUGGCAGAGGGGAAAGAGGACCCCCUUAUAAACAAACUGAUUAAUAAACUCCAAGACUUUGAGUUCCAUUUCACCCCUCUAUGAGCUUGUGUUUCCGCUAUUUCAAAAGUAGCUGAAAAACUGGACAGAAUGGAAAUAUGAUAGAUGAACUGUCUACUGUGCUUAAUGCUGAAGGAUGCGUGGUGGUAUCAGAUACAUCUGAUGGGGACAAGGAUUCCCAAAACAGCCUAUUGGGCAGGCUGAUCAAAUUGGUUUCCUCCCAGCCUGGAUCAUCCAAUGUCUCAGCUAUCAAAAGAAAACAUCUUCCUGCACAUUCAAGUGACAACAGUAAGACUGUAAAACUGUUGCGUUUUGCCGUGUGGCAUUACCUACAUGACCAUGGAGAAGAUAUGAAGAAGUGGCAUAAAAAACCCCCUCCUGCACUUCAAGCUUGGGUAAAAGAAUUACAAGACAGAUCAACCGCUAAGGUGAACCUCUCCAAAGAGAUGAUUGCUUCAGUUGCUGUGGGACACAGCAAUAGCCAUAAGAACAACAGAGAUAACAAAUAGAGGGGGCCCUGCCCCCAGCCGGGGGUGGAAGGGAUAAUAGAGUGCAUUGGACUGUGUGGAUUAGAUGGCCUGGCAUGUCAGAACUACAGAAAUAUAAGGCCCUGGUGGACACUGGUGCACAGUGCACUCUAAUGCCCUUGAGUCACCGAAGGAAAGAAUCAAUUUAUAUUCAUGGGGUGACUGGGGGUUCCCAACAAUUGACUAUGUUGGAGGCUGAAAUAAGCCUCAGUGGUAAAGACUGGCACUCUUUCUCUCAUUAUAUUUGAUUGGUUAGCUUCCAUUCUAAUUAUAUUGUAUUAUAGUGUGUUAUCUUGCAUUCUGAUACUAUUAUUUAGUAAAUUAGUUUGUUUCUCCUCAGAUCAUAGCUGCUGUUCUUAAUUAUUUGGGGUCCCCUGUUUCCCCUUUCCAGAGGCACAGAUAUGCAGAUCCCUCUGCCCCACCACUCAUGGAACUGGGCUGAACCUGCCCAUAAACCAUUGACAAAGACUGACUAAAUUUUUGCCAUAGCUCAUGCAUUAUUUCUCCUGAAGUCAGUUACUUAACUCUUGGAUUUUAGGUUAUGUUCUAACCCUCCUUCCUCUGAACGCUUUAUUUAACCAUUCACAGAUGUACUGUACAUCUCUUAACCACUUCUUUUUAGUGUUGUGUGACAGUGCCCCACAACACAGCUUCUUUUGUAUUAUAAGGUAACUUACAUGUCCAUAUUUUAUAUAAAAGCAACAACACAGUAGAGAGAUCUGUAAAACAAGAAGACUUAUUUGUUCCCAGUUCACUUCUUUUUUUCAUGUUUACUUAUUAAUAUGCAGUCAUGCAUGGAAACACUCUUGUUACAUUCAAUUUCAUUGGUAUUCAGCUCUUUCAAAAAAGAGUUAUUUCAGUCUCUGGGAAAACAAACAAAAAACACCACCAACAAAAACUAGCAAAGCAAACAACCACCACCACCACCACACACACACACGCACCAAACACAAAACAAAUGAAUAAAAAAAAUAGCCUGGGCUGUAAAGCUGAGUUCCCAGCUCCUGUUUGUGCAAAUAUAAAAGUACAUAAUGAAUAUAUCUGGACACCAGUGUGGGAAGAAACUCAGCUGGAAGCUCUUUGACCUUGUAGAGGAAAAGCCAACAGAUGAAGCUGUCAAUUUGGAUAAAAUUGAAGUAAAAGUAAGGUGCACAUGUUAACAGUGGUGAUAAUUAACUACUGGACUACCUUACCAAUACAUGCGGUAGCAUCUCCUUUACUUGGUCUCUAUGAAGUUGUUAUUAUAUUGAGCAUGUGUCUGUCAAAAGAGACGGAAACACAUGAAAGACAGAUCCAUCAAGAACCAUUAAUUGUGAGCGAGCAUGUACAGUUUCCAUCACAGACCAUCUUUAAAUUGCCAAAUGUGAGAAAUAAACAGAAUAUCCUGUAAGAAGUAUUCCUCAGAACUCGCUCUCUUUCCACAGGUAUUUGUUACUCGCAACCUUAGGAGAUGUUCUGUGAUGCAUAUAAAGGUCCUUACAUUCUUAAAGAGAAUACAGAGGAAAUGAGGAAAAGGAAAUUCUAUAGCAUUCCUAAGAGAAUCACAGCAGUAAUUACUAUAAUGAUUACUUUUGGACUUGAAACACCAGGGAAAAAAAAAGUCCUUAUGUUGUAUGAAAAUUGCAAGCAGGCACACAAGAAGGAUUUAAUGAUAUAUCGACUCAUUUUGAGAUAUCGGUUUCCACAGAAAAGGCAAGUGCACUGAGAACACAAAACAGCUUUAACAUUGCAGUCAAAUGCAUUCUAAGUAUUGAAAUAUAAUCAUUGCUUUCAUUUUUCAGCCUACCAAAACUUACAGGUUUAUGUUCAUUACACCUUGGCAAAGACAGAUAAAAUAGAGACUAAGUAUUCAACUAUUCUGUGAAGAUGAAAGAGAUUGCCAAGCUGCAACAGCAUACAACUAUCAGGCAUGUUCUGAUAGCUAUUUAUUCUACCUAUACUGACUGCGAUCCAACCACUGAACUAAAAGUGGUCCAGCAGCAAUUCCUGGAAAAUCUGUUUGGACAAACGUUUAAUACAAGGUUCAGUAAGAUGAAAUUCCUACUAUGAGAAAUCAAGUAGAAAAGCUAGUCAGAAUAAAAAAUGACAAAAGAUAAAGUGCAAGAUUUAUCAAAAGUGGUCAAUCUGCACACCUUAAGAGCUAUAAUCCAUACAAGAUAAAUUGAUUCAUAAAUUGAUCUCAACUGAGAAUGCCAAAAAUUAGUAUUAAUAGAUUGAUUUCAAAGGCAAUUAAGAAAAGGUUGGAAGGAGCAUUUACAACUCCUUACCCAUGUCUCUCAUUUUUAAUACUGAAACAUUUUUGAUGCAGUGAAGGCAAGGAUCUAACAAAGAGGUGCUACAUGGAACAUGCAACAAUGGGCUGCACAGCAGGCUCCUUCAUGGAUAUUAACAUAAGGAAUGUCCUCAUGAAAAAAAAAAAAACAACAAGGGAGACUCAUUGGCUUGUUCUGCUAUAAGCACUGAAGAAUAAAACUUAUCCUUUCCCAGGAGGCAUCAUUCCAUCAAUGUUAUUUAGUCUGUAGGAAUGUUCAUCAUCACUUUGCUGGUAGGAUACAUUCUACUACUUAGAGUCUCAAUUCUGUGUCAUUUUCUGAGGUUUGUCUGAAACAUUUUCACUGUUACUGCAGAUGAAACCUGGAAGAAGGAGUUAGAGGCUGCCUUUUUCUUCAAUUUCUGCCUAGCAGUUCAUGAAUAAAUUACUCACUGACUACAUGUUUAAUUAACCCUUCCACACUUCCUCUGUUCCUUUCUGUUUAGCUCAUUUUUUUCUAGGCUGCAGUGAAUGGGUAUCGCUCUGGGCCAUAUAAAAAUAUUUGGCUGUCCAUUAAUGCCCAAACCACCGAGGCACGUCUUCAGCUUAUUUGUAACACUGGGGAAAGAUCUUUGCUUUUAAAUGAAGCUGACAAAUCAAUGACACAUUCUCAAGGGUACUUUAAAUAUUACUGUUUGAAAGCUAUUAUAUUGCCUCUGGAUUCCACCACUGUUAAUGCAAAAGAACUAGAUGAAUAAAUAGAGCUAAUGAACUAAAGAAACACUUAGUUUAUAAACUUUCCCUUUAGAGACUUAGUUUUGAUUUGGUUGUCCAAAACUUGGGAGGUUGAAAGUCUUAUUUAUUGAUGGUAUUCUCUGCUUAUGUAUAAUAUAUAAUGCAGAGCAGGAAAUCACAUUCAUUUUAAAUACAUCCAGAAAAAUAUACCUGUAAUGUUUCAUUCUUCUGACCAUGGCAAAGAAUGGAAUUUUUUUUUUUCAAACACUGACAAAAUCUGCAUAGUCUUUGAAAACUGUUGACUAAUAUACAACAUACUAAUAUGUGGGAAGAAGAGCCAGAAUGUCUAUGGCAAUCACACAUAUAGUAUACUACUUUUUUUUCCCCAGUGAUAGUGGCUUUUGAAGGUGAGGAAGAUGGUUGAAAGCCAAGACGCUUUUUCACAUGUACAUAGACACACACAGAUCCUCAGCCUUUUCUAGUUCACCCGUGAGGUUCCAUAUUUCCAAGGAAAUACUUCUAAGAGAGCUGUACUUGUUUAUCCUUUCUCUAAUAUUACUGCUGUGAGCUCUUUUUUAAUGCUCACAUUAUCAAAAUGAUGGUAGAGAGAAAUUCUGGCAUAAUUAAAUGGCUUAGAAGAGGCUUUCCCAUUCUUUUUUCGCUUUAUAAUGCUGUUUUUUAUGACUAUUAACUGCAACAGAGAGUAAAAAAACCAGCCUGCAGAAAUCCAGAUCAGACUCAUUCUCUUUCUUCACAGAUGACCAAUGCAGUCAUCACUUUGAAGUUAUGAAAGUGCAAAAUAUAAAACUUGCUUAAAUAUGCUUAUCAGUUUUGAUAAGUUAAUGGCUUUUUCUUAGUAUAAUUGGUCCUUCUGGGAAUGGUAGUUCUCAUAUUUCCUAUUCAUUUAUUCUUGGCAUCUUGGGAACCUCCACUCUUAAUUUCCAGUGAAAUUAACAAUGAUUAGGCUCAGUUGCUGGUUUUAACUGUCCUGUGCAGAAAGUAGCAUCAUUGUUAUGUUAUAGGAGCUAGGAGAUCUGGAUUUAACUUUUAGAUAUGUAACUUGCUUACAUUGUAUCCUCAUUGUACAAAUCUCAUGUGCUUUUACUUGCAUGCCUCUCCAUCACACUUGCCCAGGAGAAACUAGUUCUUGGUUUUGAAUGCAGAGUUUAUCAAGAUUCAUCUAUGUCUUCAAACAAGACCUCUAGUAAUGAUUUCAGUAAGUUCCAGCUGUUAGGUCAUUACAUCCUUUGAAGACAUUUAUCCAAGAAAAGUAUCAAGAGCUGCAUCAAAGCUAUGUCAUGGAAUCAAAAGUGAGUCUGGUCCAUGGCCUAUUUAACAUAUGGUCCCAAAAGCUGUUCUUGAAGAAUGGGCCAUAGUAUUUCACACCAAGAACAAUCCUGUUAAUUAAGACAGAACCUUGAGGAAUAUAGGAGAAAUGGAAAACAUCUUUUCUGCAAGCAGAACUCCAGGCUUGACUAGUCAUGUUAGCUCUAAGAUACAGUAGUGACAGAGAUGUUGUAAGGCAUUUUGAAGCACUGAAACUUUUCAUUUCCCAUUACCUCUAUCCAACCACCACCCCUGUUAUCUUCUGCUUUUCCCACAUCUAUAGACCUCACCUCAUUAUAAAGCUGCUGAAACUGGCAGAGAUCAGAGAUGUCAACCACACUAUAUGUCUCCUUCAGAAAGGCACUGGCAUAUCUUAAACUGCCCAUGCUGCAGCACAGAAGUUAUAUUUGGGAUAACUAGUCCCAGGGAAGUCACUAGGAAUUCUGCUGAAAAAAAAUGUCCUAGGUAUUUUUGAUAAUCCUAUCCUGUAGUAAUGGGAUUUGUUGAUAAUAGAAGAGUAAACAUUAUACCAGUGCUGUAAACUUGAGUAAACUUGAGGGUAAUGAAUCUCUAAUUAAAUAUGGCACUUGUAAAAAGCAGCAUUUUUUUUCUGGUUGAUUUUUUACUUUCUCUUGACUUUUGGAUUUGCUGAUGAAACAAUGUAGAAAUAAAAGAGAAAGUUCUUGAUAAUUUGCCCUGUUAUUUUGUAAUUACACAUUGGGAAACAAAGUGGAAUGUUGCAUCUCAGUGUCCCAAACCCAUGGUGGGGCACAUCUGAGUGACAUGCAAGAAUUGUCCAUAAAAGAUAAUGAG
Gallus gallus (chicken) is the source of this 31626-nucleotide long non-coding RNA. The record is from Ensembl. Lineage: Eukaryota; Metazoa; Chordata; Aves; Galliformes; Phasianidae.